RNAcentral lists this ribosomal RNA (253 nucleotides) under uncultured bacterium. RNAcentral describes it as "partial 16S ribosomal RNA". It matches the Rfam family "Bacterial small subunit ribosomal RNA", at positions 524 to 776 of the family's 1533-position model. The record is from RNAcentral.
UACGUAGGGCGCAAGCGUUAUCCGGAAUUAUUGGGCGUAGAGAGCGUGUAGGCGGCCAUACAGGUCAGCUGUGAAAACUCGAGGCUCAACCUCGAGACGUCGGUUGAAACCGUAUGGCUAGAGUCCGGAAGAGGAGAGUGGAAUUCCCGGUGUAGCGGUGAAAUGCGCAGAUAUCAGGAAGAACACCCGUGGCUAAGGCGGCUCUCUAGUACGGUACUGACGCUGAGACGCGAAAGCGUGGGGAGCGAACAGG